RNAcentral lists this unclassified non-coding RNA (448 nucleotides) under uncultured Clavulinaceae. RNAcentral's name for it is "sequence contains ITS2". The stretch from base 1 to 154 matches the Rfam family "5.8S ribosomal RNA". The record is from RNAcentral. Lineage: Eukaryota; Fungi; Basidiomycota; Agaricomycetes; Cantharellales; Hydnaceae.
AACUUUUGGCAAUGGGUCUCUUGGCUCUCGCAUCGAUGAAGAACGCAGCGAAAUGCGAUAAGUAAUGUGAAUUGCAGAAUUCAGUGAAUCAUCGAAUUUUUGAACGCACCUUGCGCUCCCUGGUAUUCCGGGGAGCACGCCUGUUCGAGUGUCGUGAAAUUCUCAAACCGGGAUGCUUUUUUGUUUCUCGGGUUGGUGUUGGGCUUUGCAGUUCCUUUGAUUGGGAUGGCUGGCCUCAAAAGCAUUAGCUGGCUUUUAAUGUGGCAUUGGUUCUACUCAGCGUGAUAAUGAUCUGACCGCCGAGGACAUCUUUCGAGAUGGCCAAUUCUCAUUUGGGCUGCUUCUAACUUUGGUCGAGCAGAUUCUGAAUCUGUUCCACUUUUCAGCUUUUGACCUCGAAUCAGGUGGGACUACCCGCUGAACUUAAGCAUAUCAAUAAGCGGAGGCU